AUCCAGCAGAGAGAAGCCUCACGUGUUCGUGCACUUGCCACCCUUCACCUUGGUGCGUUUGGAAAUGGAUUAAAUAAAAGGAAUGUGGUCACUGGGAGCAUUUGGCAUCUCCUCUUUGUUGAGUCUCGGCAUUUCCCACCAUCGGGCUUCUUGUCCUGAGGAUGUCCCAUCGGGAAUGUGGCAGCUUCACCGGCACCAGGAUGGGAGACACAGGAGCUUGGAUGCUCCGAACACUGCAGCUUCCAGCAGCCCCCAGCCAAGGGUGGCACCUGCAGCAUUCCCAUAUGGUUCCCUGCACCGGGAGAAGCUGGAGCGGGACCUGGCAUCGGGAAGCAGCGCUCGGCUCCCGCUCAUCAGCACCUUCCAGAGAGGAGCGCCGCGCAAGCCGGAGCUAAUUGAGCAGGCGGCUCUGAAGGACGUACUACAUCUCCAUGGAAAACUGCUUCAGCGAGGCUGCUCGGGAUAAUAAACAAAGCACUUGGGCAGAUGAUAGGGCAUUUAAGUGUUUACUCUUCAGAGCAUUAAGUGCUAAAUUUGUUUUUAGCUCCCUUAUGAGAAGCCCUUGCGGAGGGAAAGCGCACGAGGGUCUCGGUUGUAUGGAGCAUCCAUGUCCAGCCCAGCACCUCGGCUCCAUGCCCUUGGGGACAUAAGGAUGCACUGGGACGGUCUCCAAGGGUCCCUGGGGUUUAAUGUGACCGUGAAGAAAGGAAAAUGCGGAAGAAAAAGGGUUUGCUCAGUGAAGGGAAAGGAAAGGGACAGCUCGCAGUGUUAUACUCACUGCAAGGAAAAUUGGAGAAGGAAGAUGGGACUGUGCUUGGGAUGUGCUCAAUGCUGGGUGGUUCUCCUGCCUUAAGAAACAGAAUGGAAAAAAAUAAAUAAAUAACAGAAAAACUCGCCCUUUGCAAAGCUCGCACCCCACCAGGCCAGCACAAAGGCAGAAUUAGCAGCCAGCAAAGAGGGACCCAGCAGCAAGGAGCCCGUGAGUCCGAACCCGGUUUUGUCGCACGGGAGCCCGUGCAGGACGGCUCCCAAACCAGUUCAGACAGGGCGUUCUCCAGCAACGUAGGGAAGGACAGGGGAGCAGGGCUGCUGUGUGCGCGCGGGGCCUUUUCGAGGCGAAAGCGCCACUUUUAGCCCAAUUUGGGCCGUGUCUGAGCACGCUUCCCCCGCGCAUCGUGGAUUCAAUUACGCCGCGCCGCGUUGCCCGUUUCUGUUAAAUUUUAACUCGUUUCACAUGGGCUGCGUGAACUUUGCCUGACAUUUGGAGGCAGGCAACUUGUGUCAUCAGGUUACGCUCACACUUAUCUCUGCAAAUAUAUCCCUUGUACCCAGCGCAGCCCCCCCUCUUCCCAACCCGUGCGCCCUCCUCAUCCUCCCGGGAUGAAGGCUCCGGGCUUGAGCGGUGGGAAGUGGCCGGCCCUGCUGAUCAAAGGCCUCGCCACUGUUGUUUUAGAGGUGACACGGACAUUUAAGGGGCUUUUGAAAGCCCAGCCUUUGCCGUAAAAAGCCAGACACCAGGCACGGAGCGACUGCAACGCGGGUUUAACGACAGUGAAACGGCCUUUUGUUYCUCAGCUCCAAGAAGAACCACAAGCCUGUUUAUAGUGUUUAUAAUAAAGCCUGCGAAACCUUUUACACGUAAUCCUGUAAAGUGAGACCCGCGGGCUCUGGCGGUGCCGAACGAGCCCCAGGGCGGGCAGAGCCGGCACGUGGGCUGCUCGCUUGGGUUCCCAACCAGGACCCACGUUUUAUCCCAGACUAUCCCAGUCUGGACUAUCCCAGGGUCGUCCAGAUGUCUCUGGAGGAUGUGACUGGUACUAAGUUGUGCUGCUGAGCAAGUGGCAGAGCAAGUUUGGGCAUGGYGUGGUUUGACAUGGAAUGGCUCUGCAUGGCUUGGUGUGGUUCAAUGUGGCAUGGUGUGGCAUGGCUUGCCAUAGCUUGGCAUGGCAUGGCAUGUCUCAACACGGCUUGGCACAGCCCACCAUGGCAUGUCUUGGUAUGGUUCAG
Molecule: long non-coding RNA, 2007 nt
Organism: Nothoprocta perdicaria
Lineage: Eukaryota; Metazoa; Chordata; Aves; Tinamiformes; Tinamidae
Exons: 2
Source: RefSeq, a predicted model, not a curated record